AUUCAAAAGGCUCCAACUGAAGUAACACAAGUUUUUAUUAUUCACAGGAAAAGCACCCUUGGCAACCCGUAAUCAUCUCUGUGGCCUUUGAAAACAGUCGUGGUGAGAAAGCAGAGUGUUUCUAGAUGUGGGCCUUACUCUGGCAGACUACUGCGACAAAACUAUUAUUUUCCUGGAACAUUGUCUCGCCCCCUGGUGGACCUCUGGGCCACACAAACGUCAUCAUUCACGCUAUUCAUCUGACGCCUGGGUCCAGACCAUCUUACACCCUGAGCUAUAAGCGGGACACACAGCCGUCGUGUUUUGCUUGAUGAAGCUGUGCGAGGUAUGUUACUUAUGGAUGUAGUGGAACCUGCCUGUUCACCUCAUAAUGCUCCCUUAUUACUUGCUCCAAAGAAACAAGGCGAUUGGCGUAUCGUUGUCGACUUCAGAAAACUCAACGCAUCUACCAUUCCUGACUGUUAUCCAGUGCCAAGGUUUAAUCAUUCAAUUUCAAUAUCAUGUGUAUGUGUGUAUAUUUCUCUUUACUUAUAUGUGUUGUACAUGUUUUAUGUUAUCUUAUCAUGUUUGUAUGUUAUAAUCAAGGUUCUCGUUCUGUACUCUCUCUGAUGUCAUGUAUCAUCUGUUAAUUGCUCCCAUCCUACUGCCUUGUUAUUAUAUUCAAAUAUUAGGGUGCAUUUUUCGUGGGGGAAGGCAUCUGUAUCAGUCUCUACUAUUACUAUUAUUAUAUAUAUGUAUAUUUCACUACUUCAUAUAUUCAUCCCACAUGUACCAUGGCCAGCCAGUCCUUUUUCCAACUCUCAAGGGAAUUUCACACCCACUUCAGUCCUUAAGGAUAACAGCUGCGUUCAUCUUCCUUCCUGGUCAUUUCUCCUCCUUGUCUAUCCAAAGGGAAUUUCACACCCACUUCCAGUCCUUAGGGACAACUAUCUGCGAUCCACUUAGCUCAGAUAAAUACAGCCCACAUGUUAACGAGUUCUCAGUUCAUUUGGGAGUUCAGACACAGUCAGUCAGUCACACAGUCACGAGCAGUUAGUCUUGGUCUCUCACUCAGUAUCACUCACAGUCACAGUCAGCUUGAGAGACACUGCUCAGUCAUCAUCCAUAUCACUUCAGAGAGAGAGAGAGAGAGAGAGAGAGAGAGAGAGAGAGAGAGAGAGAGAGAGAGAGCAAUCAACCGUCAUGUUAUAAUUUUUGUCUCGAAUCCAGUGUGUCUACGUACUAUUAAAUCAAGAACUCUC
Molecule: long non-coding RNA, 1241 nt
Organism: Scylla paramamosain (green mud crab)
Lineage: Eukaryota; Metazoa; Arthropoda; Malacostraca; Decapoda; Portunidae
Exons: 2
Source: RefSeq, a predicted model, not a curated record